This 73-nucleotide transfer RNA is filed under the name Lachnospiraceae bacterium. Its description in RNAcentral is "tRNA-Ala". It matches the Rfam family "tRNA". Rfam says of the family: Transfer RNA (tRNA) molecules are approximately 80 nucleotides in length. Their secondary structure includes four short double-helical elements and three loops (D, anti-codon, and T loops). Lineage: Bacteria; Bacillati; Bacillota; Clostridia; Lachnospirales; Lachnospiraceae. The record is from RNAcentral.
GGGGCAUUAGCGCAGUUGGGAGCGCGUUUGCAUGGCAUGCAAGAGGUCACGGGUUCGAAUCCCGUAUGCUCCA